Non-coding RNA from Cajanus cajan (pigeon pea), 242 nucleotides. The record is from RefSeq and is a predicted model, not a curated record. Lineage: Eukaryota; Viridiplantae; Streptophyta; Magnoliopsida; Fabales; Fabaceae.
AAUGCUUGGGCAAAGAUUCAUCAGUGCUUAUCUAUUCAGGGCCUUUGCCCAUCAGGUGGCAGGAGUGAUACUGGUGGCAGCGAUGGUGGAACUGGAAGCAGGAGUGAUGCUUCAUUAAGGACAGGUUUAAGAAAUUGAAUGUUAUGUUUGAGGAACUCCAUUAGAGAUAAUCUCAGUGGACAGCUCCUGACAUCCAUCUGCUAGUGUCUCUCAAGCCUGCAGUUGCUGAAGUCUUGUUGGUA